CACGAGGCUGCCCCGCCGCUGCUUGGUGCCGAGUCGUGGUGCCCCGGCAGAGUGGUGGCGACGGCGGCGGCGGCGGCGGCGACUCCUUCCACUAAAGUCUACAAGGAAAAAUUUCAAUACCGUGGCGGCCGCGAGUGACGAAGCAUUUACUGCGACAGUGAGGUGGAAAGGCUUUUAUCAGGUGGAGGCAACUUUUCUUAUGCUGGCUGGGAAGGUGCCGCGUGAUAACGUCCGGGCGAUCACUCACCCCAUUGACAGCCAAUACAGCACCUGCAGGCUGUUUUCCGGCCAGCUGGUGUUUCCUGGCGGCCUCCAGCAGGCGACCAUGACGCAACAGAGCUCCUCGCAGCAGACUCCCGCC
Molecule: long non-coding RNA, 361 nt
Organism: Eriocheir sinensis (Chinese mitten crab)
Lineage: Eukaryota; Metazoa; Arthropoda; Malacostraca; Decapoda; Varunidae
Exons: 3
Source: RefSeq, a predicted model, not a curated record